RNAcentral lists this ribosomal RNA (1346 nucleotides) under uncultured bacterium. Its description in RNAcentral is "partial 16S ribosomal RNA". It matches the Rfam family "Bacterial small subunit ribosomal RNA", at positions 28 to 1381 of the family's 1533-position model. The record is from RNAcentral.
GACGAACGCUGGCGGCGUGCUUAACACAUGCAAGUCGAACGGAAAGGCCCUGCUUUUGUGGGGUGCUCGAGUGGCGAACGGGUGAGUAACACGUGAGUAACCUGCCCUUGACUUUGGGAUAACUUCAGGAAACUGGGGCUAAUACCGGAUAGGAGCUCCUGCUGCAUGGUGGGGGUUGGAAAGUUUCGGCGGUUGGGGAUGGACUCGCGGCUUAUCAGCUUGUUGGUGGGGUAGUGGCUUACCAAGGCUUUGACGGGUAGCCGGCCUGAGAGGGUGACCGGCCACAUUGGGACUGAGAUACGGCCCAGACUCCUACGGGAGGCAGCAGUGGGGAAUAUUGCACAAUGGGCGGAAGCCUGAUGCAGCAACGCCGCGUGCGGGAUGACGGCCUUCGGGUUGUAAACCGCUUUCGCCUGUGACGAAGCGUGAGUGACGGUAAUGGGUAAAGAAGCACCGGCUAACUACGUGCCAGCAACCGCGGUGAUACGUAGGGUGCGAGCGUUGUCCGGAUUUAUUGGGCGUAAAGGGCUUGUAGGUGGUUGAUCGCGUCGGAAGUGUAAUCUUGGGGCUUAACCCUGAGCGUGCUUUCGAUACGGGUUGACUUGAGGAAGGUAGGGGAGAAUGGAAUUCCUGGUGGAGCGGUGGAAUGCGCAGAUAUCAGGAGGAACACCAGUGGCGAAGGCGGUUCUCUGGGCCUUUCCUGACGCUGAGGAGCGAAAGCGUGGGGAGCGAACAGGCUUAGAUACCCUGGUAGCCCACGCUGUAAACGGUGGGUACUAGGUGUGGGGUCCAUUCCACGGGUUCCGUGCCGUAGCUAACGCUUUAAGUACCCCGCCUGGGGAGUACGGCCGCAAGGCUAAAACUCAAAGGAAUUGACGGGGCCCCGCACAAGCGGCGGAGCAUGCGGAUUAAUUCGAUGCAACGCGUAGAACCUUACCUGGGUUUGACAUGGAUCGGGAGUGCUCAGAGAUGGGUGUGCCUCUUUUGGGGUCGGUUCACAGGUGGUGCAUGCCUGUCGUCAGCUCGUGUCGUGAGAUGUUGGGUUAAGUCCCGCAACGAGCGCAACCCUUGUUCACUGUUGCCAGCACGUUAUGGUGGGGACUCAGUGGAGACCGCCGGGGUCAACUCGGAGGAAGGUGGGGAUGACGUCAAGUCAUCAUGCCCCUUAUGUCCAGGGCUUCACGCAUGCUACAAUGGCUGGUACAGAGAGUGGCGAGCCUGUGAGGGUGAGCGAAUCUCGGAAAGCCGGUCUCAGUUCGGAUUGGGGUCUGCAACUCGACCUCAUGAAGUCGGAGUCGCUAGUAAUCGCAGAUCAGCAACGCUGCGGUGAAUACGUUCCCGGGGCU